RNAcentral lists this ribosomal RNA (228 nucleotides) under Triticum aestivum (bread wheat). RNAcentral's name for it is "partial small subunit ribosomal RNA". The record is from RNAcentral. Lineage: Eukaryota; Viridiplantae; Streptophyta; Magnoliopsida; Poales; Poaceae.
AUGGACCAUUCCAUCCCUUUUUCCCGUGCAUAUGCAUCGGAUUCGGAUGACGAAGGUCCCGAUGAACAAGUUGAUGAGGAGGGGUUCACGGUGAAGGAGGCCGAAGCUUUCGAGAAGGUAUUCGGUCAGGAUCACAAGACACCAUUGUUCAAGGAUGUUAAUCUCGCGGAUGAAGCCGUUGUGGAUGGUGGCAAAUCUAUAUCUCUUGGGGUUAGGCCAAGCUCUCAC